This is a long non-coding RNA of Acanthochromis polyacanthus (spiny chromis), 645 nucleotides long. RefSeq lists it as uncharacterized. NCBI's taxonomy places the organism in Eukaryota, Metazoa, Chordata, Actinopteri, Pomacentridae. The record is from RefSeq and is a predicted model, not a curated record. The transcript has 3 exons.
GUCAGGAGUGUAAGUAGAUUUUUCCCUCUGAUGAAAAAACACAUAGUGAGGACAUUAGAUGUGUCUUGUACAUGCAUGUUUUGCUGCUCAUAUUGGUGCUUACUGUUUCACAGCAGUGCUUUUAGAUAACUGUUUUUUUUUUUUUUUUCACCAGCCUUUGGACAGCCUUUUGGAGAGCCUCUGGAUUGCCCUUGGACAUCCUUUGGUCGACCACCACUGCAUCACCUCGUAUCCAUCCAUCCAUCCAUCCAUCCAUCCAUCCAUCUGUUUUGUGUGCCUUGUUCUCUCUCUCUCUCUGUCUCUCUCUCCCUGUGUUUGUGUGUCUCUUGUGCUCUUGUGCUGUCUUCCAGGAUGCCUCGGAAGGGGAGACGCUCCCAGGCCCAGAAGCAGCGCUGGAGGAAGCUGGACGCGUCUGAGAUGCCCACCCCUCCUGUCGACGCACCCCACUGCUCCCGCUCUCCCCAGUACAAGAAGGUUGGUUCCACCCUGCCAGCCGGACGGUUCUGGGAAGAGCGGCAGGCGCGUGCAAACUUUAUUGCACGCCGUGGCACCGGUUACCGCCACAAGGUUAAAAAAUGGCCAACUUCACCCUUUACUGGGCGCAACCACAAGUUGGUCAUUCCUCCUGAGCGCCUUGGAAAGAAG